GUUCACUUGGAAACUGAAGGCACCAAAGGGUCCAAUGAGUAUAGAGAUUCUACCCUGCUAGAAAGGGCAAUUCAUGAAUCUGUGUACGGUAGUCGGUCUACUUUUUGGUUAGAGAAGGAAAGCCAAAGUAAAUUCUGCAUAUGAGGAAGGACUUGAGUAUUCAGAUGCCAAGAUGGAUGAGAAUGACACUGAUGAGAAAUCUUUACAUGGAGGUAUUGUAUUGACCUGCAUUGAUGAGGAUAGUUUGAUUUUCAUUAAAUCUGAGAUUGAAGACAGUGAAACAGAAGACAAGGGAACAUUUGAUGGCAAGUCUACAGCUCCCAUUGUGACAGAUGAAACUUCUCAAGAUAAUGAUGAGAAGGGGCCUGGGGACCAUGGAAGUAGUUCUUUGAGUUUUGAUCUUUCAAGCGAAGAAGAAACUGGUCCCCAGCAGCAUGAGGAUAGACGAUGCUUCGAUGGAGGGAGAGUGAAAAGUGGAGAGGAUGUUUUGACUGGGCCAUGUGAUUGUAAGAGGGCAGACUGUUCAGGGUCAAUGCGUUCAUGCACUGAGAAUCAUGAAACAACUACAUGUACUUCCAAAUGUUCCAAUGAUAAAACAACUCUUAAAUGUUUAGUGUGUGCUCUCUCAUUUUCUGAAGAGUCUCAACUGAGGGAACACUUCCAACGAUGUCAUUUUAUCGUCAUAGAGUCUGAAGACAUGACUCAUUGUUCACAUUGUAAAAAGUCAUUUCGAUGUAAUUCUGACUUUGUGAAGCAUAAGGCGAAAUGCUCUUUGGGAAAUCAGUUUGGAUUGAGUUUUUGUACAAAACUUGAUUCAGACGACAGCAGAUUUAAUGAAGGAACACUUCAAAAUGGUGAUAAAGACUUCUCUCAGAAACUUUUUAACCGCUCUCAUCGUGGCGAAAGCUUUCCAUCCAAGUGUGAUCUCGCUAAUCAUAAUGUAAAUCAUUAUGGUAAAUCUUAUAAAUGUGACAUAUCUUCACAAGAAAAAAAUGAACAUGAAAGAUCACAUGAAGAGCAAAGACCAUUCGAAUGUCAGUGUUGUAAAAAGAGAUUCAAGCUGAAACACCAUCUCCAAGGCCACAUUAGAAUUCACACAAAGGAGAAACACUAUGAAUGUCCAUAUUGUAACAAGAAAUUUUCCUGGAAGAAAGAAUGCGAUAUGCAUGUAAUUGAACACCCUGGGGUCAAUUUUCCAGAAUGUUCUCUGUGUAAAAAGAAAUUUGCAUCUUUGGACAUGAAGCAUAGACAUAUGAAAAGGUAUCAUGGCAUUGUUGACUUGGAAUGUACAAAAGAAAAGUAUCACGAAUGUCAGUAUUGUAAAAAGAGAUUCAAGCUGAAACACCAUCUCCAAGGCCACAUUAGAAUUCAUACAAAGGAUAAACCCUUCCAAUGUAAACAUUGUGGCAAGGAAUUUAGUCAUCAAUCAACAUUACGUGAACAUGUAGGUAAGACUCAACCAGAAUGUUUUAAAUGCAAAGAGAAAUUUGCAUGUAAGACGAUGAGGCGCAAACACAUGAAAAACUGUGUUUUAGACUAUCUCCAACAUAAGGACAAAGACUUCUCUCAGAAACCUUUCAACUGCUCUCAUCGUGGUGUAAGCUUUCCAUCCAAGUGUGAUCUCGCUAAUCAUAAUGUAAAUCAUUAUGGUAAAUCUUAUAAAUGUGACAUAUCUUCACAAGAAAAAAAUGAACAUGAAAGAUCACAUGAGGAGCAAAGGCCAUUUGAAUGUCAGUAUUGUAAAAAGAGAUUCAAACUGAAACACCAUCUCCAAGACCACAUUAGAAUUCAUACAAAGGAGAAACACUAUGAAUGUCCAUAUUGUAACAAGAAAUUUUCCUGGAAGAAAGAAUGCGAUAUGCAUGUAAUCGAACACCCUGGGGUCAAUUUUCCAGAAUGUUCUCUGUGUAAAAAGAAAUUUGCAUCUUUGGACAUGAAGCAUAGACAUAUGAAAAGGUAUCAUGGAAUUGUUGACUUGGAAUGUACAAAAGAAAAGUAUCAUGAAUGUCAGUAUUGUGAUAAAAAAUUUGGGCUAAAAGGUACUCUGAAGAAACACAUUAGAAUUCAUACAAAGGAUAAACCUUUCCAAUGUAAACAUUGUGGCAAGGAAUUUAGUCAUCAAUCAACAUUAAGUGAACAUGUAGGUAAGACUCAACCAGAAUGUCCUAAAUGCAAAGAGAAAUUUGCAUGUAUGACGAUGAGGCGCAAACACGUGAAAAACUGUGUUUUAGACUAUCUCCAAGCUGAAGACAAAGAAUUCUCUCAGAAACCUUUCAACUGCUCUCAUUGUGGCGAAAGCUUUACAUACGAGUGUGAUCUUGCUAAUCAUAACAUAAAGCAUAAUGAAAAAAAAUCAUAUGAUUGCUACUAUUGUGACAAAUCUUUCCCAUCUUCACACGAAAGAAAUGAGCAUGAAAGAUCACAUGAGGAGCAAAGACCAUUUGAAUGUCAGUAUUGUAAAAAGAGAUUCAAACUGAAACACCAUCUCCAAGGCCACAUUAGAAUUCACACAAAGGAGAAACACUAUGAAUGUCCAUAUUGUAACAAGAAAUUUUCCUGGAAGAAAGAAUGCGAUAUGCAUGUAAUCGAACACCCUGGGGUCAAUUUUCCAGAAUGUUCUCUGUGUAAAAAGAAAUUUGCAUCUUUGGACAUGAAGCAUAGACAUAUGAAAAGGUAUCAUGGAAUUGUUGACUUGGAAUGUACAAAAGAAAAGUAUCACGAAUGUCAGUAUUGUGAUAAAAAAUUUGGCUUAAAAGGUACUCUGAAGAAACACAUUAGAAUUCAUACAAAGGAUAAACCUUUCCAAUGUAAACAUUGUGGCAAGGAAUUUAGUCAUCAAUCAACAUUAAGUGUACAUGUAGGUAAGACUCAACUAGAAUGUCCUAAAUGCAAACAGAAAUUUGCAUGUAAGAUGAUGAGGCGCAUACACAUGACAAACUGUGUUUUAGACAAUCUCCAACAUGAAGACAAAGACUUCUCUCAGAAACCUUUCAACUGCUCUCAUCGUGGCGAAAGCUUUCCAUCCAAGUGUGAUCUCGCUAAUCAUAAUGUAAAUCAUUAUGGUAAAUCUUAUAAAUGUGACACAUCUUCACAAGAAAAAAAUGAACAUGAAAAAUCACAUGAGGAGCAAAGGCCAUUUGAAUGCCAGUAUUGUAAAAAGAGAUUCAAACUGAAACACCAUCUCCAAGACCACAUUAGAAUUCACACAAAGGAGAAACACUAUGAAUGUCCAUAUUGUAACAAGAAAUUUUCCUGGAAGAAAGAAUGCGAUAUGCAUGUAAUUGAACACCCUGGGGUCAAUUUUCCAGAAUGUUCUCUGUGUAAAAAGAAAUUUGCAUCUUUGGACAUGAAGCAUAGACAUAUGAAAAGGUAUCAUGGAAUUGUUGACUUGGAAUGUACAAAAGAAAAGUAUCAUGAAUGUCAGUAUUGUGAUAAAAAAUUUGGCCUAAAAGGUACUCUGAAGAAACACAUGAGAAUUCAUACAAAGGAUAAACCCUUCCAAUGUAAACAUUGUGGCAAGGAAUUUAGUCGUCAAUCAACAUUAAGUGAACAUGUAGGUAAGACUCAACCAGAAUGUCCUAAAUGCAAAGAGAAAUUUGCAUGUAUGACGAUGAGGCGCAAACACGUGAAAAACUGUGUUUUAGACUAUCUCCAAGCUGAAGACAAAGACUUCUCUCAGAAACCUUUCAACUGCUCUCAUUGUGGCGAAAGGUUUACAUACGAGUGUGAUCUUGCUAAUCAUAACAUAAAGCAUAAUGCAGGAAAAUCAUAUGAUUGCUAUUAUUGUGACAAAUCUUUCCCAUCUUCACAAGAGAGAAAUGAACAUGAAAGAUCACAUGAGGAGCAAAGGCCAUUUGAAUGCCAGUAUUGUAAAAAGAGAUUCAAGCUGAUGCACCAUCUCCAAGACCAUAUUAGAAUUCACACAAAGGAAAAACCCUAUGAAUGUCCAUAUUGUAACAAGAAAUUUUCCUGGAAGAAAGAAUGCGAUAUGCAUGUAAUCGAACACCCUGGGGUCAAUUUUCCAGAAUGUUCUCUGUGUAAAAAGAAAUUUGCAUCUUUGGACAUGAAGCAUAGACAUAUGAAAAGGUAUCAUGGAAUUGCUGACUGUACAAAAGAUAAAAAAAGUCAUUUAUGUCAGUAUUGUGGUAGAAUAUUCA
Molecule: long non-coding RNA, 4157 nt
Organism: Lytechinus pictus (painted urchin)
Lineage: Eukaryota; Metazoa; Echinodermata; Echinoidea; Temnopleuroida; Toxopneustidae
Exons: 2
Source: RefSeq, a predicted model, not a curated record